CACAACAUAACAAACAUAGAACAGGUAAACGGAUAA
Molecule: unclassified non-coding RNA, 36 nt
Filed under: Leishmania tarentolae
Lineage: Eukaryota; Euglenozoa; Kinetoplastea; Trypanosomatida; Trypanosomatidae
Description: gG4XII
Source: RNAcentral